RNAcentral lists this ribosomal RNA (253 nucleotides) under uncultured Streptomyces sp. RNAcentral describes it as "partial 16S ribosomal RNA". It matches the Rfam family "Bacterial small subunit ribosomal RNA", at positions 524 to 776 of the family's 1533-position model. Lineage: Bacteria; Bacillati; Actinomycetota; Actinomycetes; Kitasatosporales; Streptomycetaceae. The record is from RNAcentral.
UACGUAGGGCGCAAGCGUUGUCCGGAAUUAUUGGGCGUAAAGAGCUCGUAGGCGGCUUGUCACGUCGAUUGUGAAAGCCCGAGGCUUAACUUCGGGUCUGCAGUCGAUACGGGCAGGCUAGAGUUCGGUAGGGGAGAUUGGAAUUCCUGGUGUAGCGGUGAAAUGCGCAGAUAUCAGGAGGAACACCGGUGGCGAAGGCGGAUCUCUGGGCCGAUACUGACGCUGAGGAGCGAAAGCGUGGGGAGCGAACAGG